This 491-nucleotide ribosomal RNA is filed under the name uncultured bacterium. RNAcentral's name for it is "partial 16S ribosomal RNA". It matches the Rfam family "Bacterial small subunit ribosomal RNA", at positions 28 to 507 of the family's 1533-position model. The record is from RNAcentral.
GAUGAACGCUGGCUACAGGCUUAACACAUGCAAGUCGAGGGGAAACGACGGGGAAGCUUGCUUCCCCGGGCGUCGACCGGCGCACGGGUGAGUAACGCGUAUCCAACCUGCCUCUGACUGAGGGAUAACCCGUCGAAAGUCGGCCUAAUACCUCAUGGUAUCGUCUGCGGGCAUCCAACGACGAUUAAAGAUUUCCUCGGUCAGGGAUGGGGAUGCGUCUGAUUAGCUUGUUGGCGGGGUAACGGCCCACCAAGGCUACGAUCAGUAGGGGUGCUGAGAGGAAGGUCCCCCACAUUGGAACUGAGACACGGUCCAAACGCCUACGGGAGGCAGCAGUGAGGAAUAUGGGUCAAUGGGCGAGAGCCUGAACCAGCCAAGUAGCGUGCAGGAAGACGGCCCUAGGGGUUGUAAACUGCUUUUAGGCGGGGAUAAAGUGAGGGACGUGUCCCUCAUUGCAGGUACCGCAUGAAUAAGGACCGGCUAAUUCCGUG